Molecule: long non-coding RNA, 2708 nt
Filed under: Lynx pardinus (Iberian lynx)
Lineage: Eukaryota; Metazoa; Chordata; Mammalia; Carnivora; Felidae
Source: RNAcentral
AGGUUUGAGAAAGAAAAGUCCUUCGCUCACUUAAAAUUCCACCAAAUGCCCUUAUUCUUCCCCUGUGACUUCUCCAAGAGACCAUGGGACCUUUCAGCUCAGGUAUACACACUGUUGUUCCCAAUUCCUCCCAUUUGUCCUCUUCUCUAGGUCCCCUGUGCUAGGACACCCAACUCACUGAGCACAGCCCCCCCCCUCCUUAAUGAGCACACCAUUAUUAUGUAAUAGCUUCCCCUCCCUCCUCCACCUGUCUGGCCUCUGCCCAGUCCCCAGUCUCUCUCUGGUCUCCUCAGGACUCCAUUGCCAGGAAAGCUGCUGUUUCAGGGAUCAUCUUGCCUGCCCCCCACCUGACUGCAUCUUCUGUGGUCACAGGCUCCUUCACUCAUGGGGCCUGCCUGGGCCCAGGCCCACUUGACGGGUGAUCUCUGGCUGCCUCUGCUCUGGCUACUCUUGUCCCCGGUCUGCUGCUCCCAUGCCCUCCCGGGAUGGCGCUUCACUUCCUCUGAAGUUGUGAUCCCCAGGAAGGUGUCCCACAGGGUGAGUGGAGCUGAGAGACAAGGCCAACUUUCCUAUAAGAUCCACUUCAGAGGCCAAAGACAUGUGGUUCACAUGAAAGUCAAGAGGAGCUUGCUGCCCAAACAUUUUCCUGUUAUCACCGACAAUGAUCAAGGUGCCAUGCAGGAGGACUACCCGUUUGUCCCUCGAGACUGUUACUACCACAGCUACCUGGAAGGGGUUCCUGGGUCCAUGGGCACACUGGACACCUGCUACGGGGGUCUGCAUGGCAUGCUGCAGGUGGAUGACUUCACUUAUGAAAUAAAACCAUUGGAGGCUUCUUCCAGAUUCGAGCAUGUGAUUUCUCUACUUGUGUCAGAAGGAAGACCGUCAGAGUCUCAAAGGUGUAAGAUUGAAGAACAAUCUACAAAUCAGGCAUAUGAAGAGGCAAUACUUUCCGGAGCUCCUAGGGCAGCCCCUGUUUAUUUGUGGUGGCCACAUAAGAAAUAUUUAAAGAUUCACUACACAGUUUCUCACUCAUUAUAUUUAAUGAGGCCUAAUGUGACACAGGCAAUAGAGGGUGUGGUGAUGAUAAACAACGUACUCCAUACGAUUUACAAACAGGGUCUUAUAGACAUCUACGUACGUCUUUUGUGCAUAUGGAAUGGUCGGGAUCCUACAGAUGUAACAAAAAAAAGUAGUGCAUUCAAAGCUAUACAGAGCUUUGGGUUGUGGAAAUUUUAUAAUAUUCACAGAUUUAUUGAACAUGAUACUUCAUUGCUUCUUACAGGACAUAAAAUCUCAGGACAGCAUUUUUAUGGUCACCUGGAUGGAACAUGCAACCCCAACUGGGGAUCAUUAUUUGUAUAUGUAGCAAAUUACCACAUAUUUUUGGCUGCAACCAUUUCAGCACAUGUAUUGGGUCAUAAUAUGGGGCUCCACCAUGAUGUACCUGGCUGCAUAUGUUUUCGAAGAAGCUACUGUGUUAUGACUCCUGAGCCUGGUUUAAUGGAUACAAUGAGCAAUUGUUCUUAUGCGAGACUGCAUCACUGGAUUUCUAGGUGGGAUCCUUGUAUGAGCAUACCAAAUGUCCUAUACAAAAAUUUUCCUUAUGUAGCACCUCGUUGUGGUGACAAGAUCAUAAAUGAGGCAGAAGAAUGUGACUGUGGCUCCUUAAAAGAUUGUAAAGAGAAUAAAUGUUGUGAGACCAAUUGUUACCUCUCCCUUGGCAGUGACUGCAGUGAAGGACCCUGCUGUGUUAACUGCACGUUUGCUCAACCUGGAACAAUUUGCAGAGACCUACUUGGUAUUUGUGAUCUACCAGAAUACUGUGAUGGGAAAACGCAUAAUUGUCCAAAUGACAUGUACACCCAAGAUGGAACCCCAUGUUCAGCAUUAGCUGUUUGUGUGAGAGGAAACUGUAGUGACCGUGACAUGCAGUGUCAAUCCCUUUUUGGCUUCCAAAUUAAAGAUGCUUCACCGAAGUGUUAUGAACAUUUGAAUAUACUAGGUGACCGAUUUGGCAACUGUGGAGUGAGGGUGUCACAAGGAGGAGGAAGACCUUUUAAAUGUGAAGAAGAUAAUGUUCUUUGUGGAAUGCUGCACUGUAGUAAUGUCCAUGAAAUUCCUGGUGGAGGUGAGCACACUACAUUUCGUCAUAUAAUAAUACCAGGUGUUACAGAAGAAAAAUGCUUUGGAUAUGACGCACACCAUGGGACAGAUACGCCAGAAAUGGGGCUUGUAGUGGAUGGUGCAACAUGUGGCCCAGGAAAAUACUGUUUGAAACAGAAUUGUACUUUUUACGAAGACAUGGGUUUUGACUGCGAUGUCAAGACAUGCAACUUCAGAGGGGUGUGCAACAACAAGAAACAUUGUCACUGUAUGAAAGGUUGGAAACCGCCAUCGUGUGACGAGAGAGGAUUGGGUGGUAGUAUAGACAGUGGCCCCCCACCUGACAGAGAAGUAGGUCUCACACCCAAAAUAAUUAUUAAUAUACACCAGGCACUAGCUCUACUGUUUAUUCGUAUGUUUGUUUUUCUGCUUGCAUUAAUCAUUGGUGGCCUUAUCCAAUUAAAAGAAGUUUUGAUGAGAGCUGAAAAAUAAACUGUGGAAGCACCAAUAUUCCUGUUAGUAAAUAAUACUGAAAUGCACAAAAUAGAGAAAAUCAUAUUGACACCUACUGGGAGCAAUGAAAAAUAAUUACUCUGAUAAUU